GACGAACGCUGGCGGCGUGCCUAAUACAUGCAAGUAGAACGCUGAAGGAGGAGCUUGCUUCCCUGGAUGAGUUGCGAACGGGUGAGUAACGCGUAGGUAACCUGCCUGGUAGCGGGGGAUAACUAUUGGAAACGAUAGCUAAUACCGCAUAAUAGUAGAUGUUGCAUGACAUUUGCUUAAAAGGUGCAAUUGCCUCACUACCAGAUGGACCUGCGUUGUAUUAGCUAGUUGGUGGGGUAACGGCUCACCAAGGCGACGAUACAUAGCCGACCUGAGAGGGUGAUCGGCCACACUGGGACUGAGACACGGCCCAGACUCCUACGGGAGGCAGCAGUAGGGAAUCUUCGGCAAUGGACGGAAGUCUGACCGAGCAACGCCGCGUGAGUGAAGAAGGGUUUCGGAUCGUAAAGAUCUGUUGUAAGAGAAGAACGAGUGUGAGAGUGGAAAGUUCACACUGUGACGGUAGCUUACCAGAAAGGGACGGCUAACUACGUG
RNAcentral lists this ribosomal RNA (495 nucleotides) under uncultured bacterium. RNAcentral describes it as "partial 16S ribosomal RNA". It matches the Rfam family "Bacterial small subunit ribosomal RNA", at positions 28 to 507 of the family's 1533-position model. The record is from RNAcentral.